RNAcentral lists this transfer RNA (77 nucleotides) under Candidatus Tayloriibacteriota bacterium. RNAcentral describes it as "Candidatus Taylorbacteria bacterium (sediment metagenome) tRNA-Ala". It matches the Rfam family "tRNA". From Rfam's summary of the family: Transfer RNA (tRNA) molecules are approximately 80 nucleotides in length. Their secondary structure includes four short double-helical elements and three loops (D, anti-codon, and T loops). Further hydrogen bonds mediate the characteristic L-shaped molecular structure. tRNAs have two regions of fundamental functional importance: the anti-codon, which is responsible for specific mRNA codon recognition, and the 3' end, to which the tRNAs corresponding amino acid is attached (by aminoacyl-tRNA synthetases). tRNAs cope with the degeneracy of the genetic code in two manners: having more than one tRNA (with a specific anti-codon) for a particular amino acid; and 'wobble' base-pairing, i.e. permitting non-standard base-pairing at the 3rd anti-codon position. The record is from RNAcentral. Lineage: Bacteria; Candidatus Tayloriibacteriota.
GGGCCUGUAGCUCAAUUGGCUAGAGCACCCGUUUUGCAUACGGGAGGUUACCGGUUCAAGCCCGGUCAGGUCCACCA